UACGUAGGGUGCGAGCGUUAAUCGGAAUUACUGGGCGUAAAGCGUGCGCAGGCGGUUAUGUAAGACAGUUGUGAAAUCCCCGGGCUCAACUUGGGAACUGCAUUUGUGACUGCAUCGCUGGAGUGCGGCAGAGGGGAUGGAAUUCCGCGUGUAGCAGUGAAAUGCGUAGAUAUGCGGAGGAACACCGAUGGCGAAGGCAAUCCCUGGGCCUGCACUGACGCUCAUGCACGAAAGCGUGGGGAGCAAACA
RNAcentral lists this ribosomal RNA (249 nucleotides) under uncultured bacterium. RNAcentral describes it as "partial 16S ribosomal RNA". It matches the Rfam family "Bacterial small subunit ribosomal RNA", at positions 524 to 774 of the family's 1533-position model. The record is from RNAcentral.